RNAcentral lists this signal recognition particle RNA (317 nucleotides) under Macaca mulatta (Rhesus monkey). RNAcentral describes it as "Metazoan signal recognition particle RNA (ENSMMUG00000061965.1)". It matches the Rfam family "Metazoan signal recognition particle RNA". Rfam says of the family: The signal recognition particle (SRP) is a universally conserved ribonucleoprotein. It is involved in the co-translational targeting of proteins to membranes. The eukaryotic SRP consists of a 300-nucleotide 7S RNA and six proteins: SRPs 72, 68, 54, 19, 14, and 9. The record is from RNAcentral. Lineage: Eukaryota; Metazoa; Chordata; Mammalia; Primates; Cercopithecidae.
CCUGGGCAUGGUGGUGGGCGCCUGUAAUUCCAACUACUCAGGAGGCUGAGGCAGGAGAAUCACUUGAAUUUGGGAGACGGAGGUUGCAGUGGACUGAGAUUGCGCCAUUGCACUGCACCCUGGGCAACAAGAGCGAAAUUCCAUCUUGAAAAAAUAAAAAUUUUGUAAAACAUUUUGUAAAAAAAAAAAAAAAAAGAUACAAAAUUUUUAUUUUUUCAAGAUGGAAUUUCGCUCUUGUCGCCCAGGCUGCAGUGCAAUGGCGCAAUCUCAGUUCACUGCAACCUCCGUCUCCCAAAUUCAAGUGAUUCUCCUGCCUC